UCUGUAGUUCUAUGGNAUGGGGACUCUGUCCUCCUGCUGUGGUUCUGCAUCUUUACAACACACAAUGUGAUAGAGUCUCAUGGAAUGUACACCGCGUUUAACGCAAUACAAUACAACUUUCAGCAACGGAUCUCUUGGCUCUCGCAUCGAUGAAAAACGCAGCGAAAUGCGAUAAGUAAUGUGAAUUGCAGAAUUCAGUGAAUCAUCGAAUCUUUGAACGCACCUUGCGCCCUUUGGCUAUUCCGAAGGGCAUGCCUGUUUGAGUAUCAUGAACACCUCAACUCUCAUGGUUUGCCAUGAUUAUCUUGGACUUUGGGGGUUUUGCUGGCCUGAGGUCAGCUCUCCUCAAACGAAUCAGCUUGCCAGCGUUUUGGUGGCAUCGCAGGUGUGAUAACUAUCUACGCUUUGUGGAUUCCCACCAAGCAACCUUCAGUGAUAUGAAGGUUCGCUGGAACUUAUAAAAUGUCUCUCUCA
RNAcentral lists this ribosomal RNA (474 nucleotides) under uncultured Thelephoraceae. Its description in RNAcentral is "eukaryotic LSU rRNA". The stretch from base 115 to 269 matches the Rfam family "5.8S ribosomal RNA". The record is from RNAcentral. Lineage: Eukaryota; Fungi; Basidiomycota; Agaricomycetes; Thelephorales; Thelephoraceae.